UACGGGGGGGGCAAGCGUUGUUCGGAAUUACUGGGCGUAAAGGGCUCGUAGGCGGCCAACUAAGUCGGAUGUGAAAUCCCCAGGCUCAACUUGGGAACUGCAUCCGAUACUGGAUGGCUUGAAUUCGGGAGAGGGAUGCAGAAUUCCAGGUGUAGCGGUGAAAUGCGUAGAUAUCUGGAGGAAUACCGGUGGCGAAGGCGGCAUCCCGGACCGACAUUGACGCUGAGGAGCGAAAGCCAGGGGAGCAAACGGG
RNAcentral lists this ribosomal RNA (253 nucleotides) under uncultured bacterium. RNAcentral's name for it is "partial 16S ribosomal RNA". It matches the Rfam family "Bacterial small subunit ribosomal RNA", at positions 524 to 776 of the family's 1533-position model. The record is from RNAcentral.